This 768-nucleotide ribosomal RNA is filed under the name Austrochloritis disjuncta. Its description in RNAcentral is "partial large subunit ribosomal RNA". The record is from RNAcentral. Lineage: Eukaryota; Metazoa; Mollusca; Gastropoda; Stylommatophora; Camaenidae.
UUAACUAUAAUAAGUAAUAUUAUUUAACACGAAGUUGAGGGAGCUAAUUAUUAUAUAUUUAUAGAUAACAGGAUGUUGUAUAAUUUAGUAAAUAGUAAUUAGGGGUGAUAGGCUUUCCACAUUCAACGAUAACUUGAUGGUUAGAGAAAAGUAUUAAUACGUAGACACUUUUAAAAUGAUAAGGUUUUAAAAGGAUAACAAAUAAUUAAAAAUUAAUAUAUAUUUUGUUUAAUCACUAAUAUAUUACUAAUAUAAUAUUAAUUUAUUAAUAAUUGUUUAAAUUAUUAACCAAUAGAAUAAUGUGCGUAUACAUAUAUAAUGUUAAUAUUAGUAACAAAAAGUUAUUAAUAAUGAACUCGGCAAAAAGUCUUUCAACUGUUUAUCAAAAACAUAGCUGUAUGAAUUAAUAUAUAGUGUUUUCUGCUCAAUGAAUAUUAAAUAGCCGCAGUACUCUGACUGUGCUAAGGUAGCGCAAUCAAUUGACUUUUAAAUGGAGUCCGGUAUGAAAGAAAUUAUGGAGGGCUACUUUUUCAUUAAUAAUAAAUGAAUUUACUUAGAAAGUGCAAAUUCUUUUAUAUAAAUAAUAGACGAGAAGACCCUAGAAAUUUUAGAGAAGUGUCUUUUUGUUGGGGCAACAAAGUAACAUAAUAAACUUACUAUAAUAACACGCAAGAUAUAUUUUGAAAGAUUAAAUUACUCUAGGGAUAACAGCAUAAUUCAUGAGAGUUUGUGACCUCGAUGUUGGAUUAGGGAAUUUACAUUUAGAAG